This 301-nucleotide ribosomal RNA is filed under the name uncultured bacterium. RNAcentral's name for it is "partial 16S ribosomal RNA". It matches the Rfam family "Bacterial small subunit ribosomal RNA", at positions 509 to 807 of the family's 1533-position model. The record is from RNAcentral.
CAGCCGCCGCGGUAAUACGUAGGGUGCAAGCGUUAAUCGGAAUUACUGGGCGUAAAGCGUGCGCAGGCGGUUAUAUAAGACAGAUGUGAAAUCCCCGGGCUCAACCUGGGGACUGCAUUUGUGACUGUAUAGCUAGAGUACGGCAGAGGGGGAUGGAAUUCCGCGUGUAGCAGUGAAAUGCGUAGAUAUGCGGAGGAACACCGAUGGCGAAGGCAAUCCCCUGGGCCUGUACUGACGCUCAUGCACGAAAGCGUGGGGAGCAAACAGGAUUAGAUACCCCCGUAGUCCCUGUCUCUUAUAC